Molecule: ribosomal RNA, 441 nt
Filed under: Neogale vison (American mink)
Lineage: Eukaryota; Metazoa; Chordata; Mammalia; Carnivora; Mustelidae
Description: partial small subunit ribosomal RNA
Rfam family: Bacterial small subunit ribosomal RNA
Source: RNAcentral
CCAAACUGGGAUUAGAUACCCCACUAUGCUCAGCCCUAAACAUAAAUAAUUCACAUAACAAAAUUACUUGCCAGAGAACUACUAGCAAUAGCUUAAAACUCAAAGGACUUGGCGGUGCUUUACAUCCCUCUAGAGGAGCCUGUUCUAUAAUCGAUAAACCCCGAUAAACCUCACCACUUCUAGCUAAAUCAGUCUAUAUACCGCCAUCUUCAGCAAACCCUUAAAAGGAAGAAAAGUAAGCACAAUAAUAAUACAUAAAAAAGUUAGGUCAAGGUGUAACCCAUGAAGUGGGAAGAAAUGGGCUACAUUUUCUAACCAAGAACAUACUCACGAAAGUUUUUAUGAAAACUAAAAACUAAAGGUGGAUUUAGUAGUAAAUUAAGAAUAGAGAGCUUAAUUGAAUAGGGCCAUAAAGCACGCACACACCGCCCGUCACCCUCC